AUAAUCUCUCCACCUAGUCCUGGGCCUACCCUGAGGUCUCCUCCCAGCUGGACGUGCCUGGAACACCUCCUUACCAGAUGCCCGAACCACCUCAACCGGCUCCUUUUCGAUGCAAAGGAGCAGCGGCUCUACUCCGAGUUCCUCACGGAUGGCUGAGCUUCUCACCCUAUCCCUAAGGGAGGAGCCAGCCACCCUUCUGAGAAAACCCACUUGUACUCAUGAUCUUGUUCUUUCGGUCAUGGCCCAGCCUUAAUGACCAUAGGUGAGGGUAGGAUGGAAAAUUGACCGGUAUAUCGAGAGCUUUGCCUUCCUGCUCAGUUCUCUUUUCGUCUCAACGGUGCGGUAAAGCGAAUGCAAUACUGCCCUCGCUGCUCCGAUUCUCCGGCCAAUCUCCCGCUCCAUUGUCCCCUCACUCACGAACAAGACCCCAAGAUACUUGAACUCCUUUACUUGGGUUAACGCCUCAUUCCCUUCCCGGAGGAGGCACUCCAUCGGUUUCCUGCUGAGAACCAUGGACUCUAGAGGUGCUCUAUGGCCUUUAGAGGUGCUAAUCCUCAUUCCAACCACGAACCGGUCCAGUGAGUGCUGAAGGUCAUAGACCGUUGAUGCCAUCAGGACCACAUCAUCCACAAAAAGCAGCGAUGAGAUCCACAGCCAACCAAACUGCAACCCCUCCCCACCCCGACUACGCUUCAAUAUCCUUUCCAAAAGUUACCAACAGGAUUGGUGACAAAGGCCAACCCCCACCUGGAACGAGUCAGACUUACUACAGAGAACCCAAACACAGAUCUCACUUUGGACGUACAGGGAUUGGAUAGCCCUCAGAAGGGACCUCCUCACCCCAUACUCCCACAGCACCUCCCACAGUAUCUCCCGGGGGACCUGGUCAUACUCCUUCAGAUCCACAAAACACAUGUAGACAGGAUGGGCAUAUUCCCAGGCCCCCUCCAUAUUCCCAGUCCCCCUCCAUAUUCCCAGGCCCCCUCCAUAUUCCCAAGCCCCCUCCAUAUUCCCAGGCCCCCUAUUUUGACUUAUCGUUUUUAUUAAUACAUCUUUGUGUUAAAUGUUCAUUUGGACCAAAGCCUCUUCUUUUUUUAAUUGAAUCCUCCUGAGGCCCCUGAAACCAUUGAGGCACGUAGCUAUCCACUUGUGUAUCUUUUUGAACUUUGUCAUUGAGCAAGUGCAAGUAGAGUACAACAAAAUGCAGUAAAAGCCAUGUCCCCUGCGAGGAUGGAACUCACAACAGACCGUUCCAAGACUGCCUGUGCCUACCUAGAGCGCUAAGGAGUCCGUUGCCAGCGCCAAGUGACCAGUAUCCUUUGGAGUCAGCUGCCGAUGAUGCAUCCGUCCCAUAUUGCGUCAUUUACUUGGGCUGUCACGUCUGCUGUUCUGCUAAUUGUUCUGGAAUUGGGAGAAAUGAUGAACUCGACCUUGAAGGUAACACAGAAUUGAGA
Molecule: long non-coding RNA, 1454 nt
Organism: Esox lucius (northern pike)
Lineage: Eukaryota; Metazoa; Chordata; Actinopteri; Esociformes; Esocidae
Source: Ensembl